GUUAAAAAGCUUAAAUUUUAUUAAAAGACGAGAAGACCCUAUAGAGUUUGAUAAUUUAUUUGUUUUAAAAAUUUAAUAAUUUAAGUUUUAUUUAAUAUGUAAAAUUAUUUAGUUGGGGUGACUUAAAAAUUUAAAUAACUUUUUAUUUUUAAAAUCAUUAGUUUAUGAAUUAUUGAUCCAUAUUGUUGUGAUUAAAAGAUUAAAUUACCUUAGGGAUAACAGCGUAAUUUUUUUGGAAAGUUCUUAUUGAUAAAAAAGUUUGCGACCUCGAUGUUGGAUUAAAAUUAACUAUUGGCGCAGUUGUUGAUGAGUUGAGUCUGUUCGACUUUUAAAAUUUUACAUGAUCUGAGUUUAAACCGGUGUGAGCCAGGUUGGUUUCUAUCUUUAAUUUAAUAAUAUAUUUUAGUACGAAAGGACCGAUUAUUUAUAAAAUUUAUUUUUAUUUGGAUAAAGGUAACUCAAUGGUUAUUUUGGCAGAUUAGUGUAUUAAAUUUAGAAUUUAAUUAUGUAUAUAUUUUAUACAGAUAAUACUUGUUAUUUAUUGAUUAUUUUUUAAUGAUUGUUAGAAGCUUAAUUUUGGUUAUUUGUGUUCU
RNAcentral lists this ribosomal RNA (593 nucleotides) under Hydrostygnus frontalis. RNAcentral describes it as "partial 16S ribosomal RNA". The stretch from base 20 to 389 matches the Rfam family "Bacterial large subunit ribosomal RNA", at positions 2072 to 2648 of the family's 2925-position model. Lineage: Eukaryota; Metazoa; Arthropoda; Insecta; Coleoptera; Hydrophilidae. The record is from RNAcentral.